RNAcentral lists this ribosomal RNA (253 nucleotides) under uncultured bacterium. Its description in RNAcentral is "partial 16S ribosomal RNA". It matches the Rfam family "Bacterial small subunit ribosomal RNA", at positions 524 to 776 of the family's 1533-position model. The record is from RNAcentral.
GACAGAGGUGCCGAGCGUUAGGCGGAAUCACUGGGCUUAAAGCGUGUGUAGGCGGACUUCUAAGUACCUUGUGAAAUCCCACGGCUCAACCGUGGAACUGCUUGGUAUACUGGUUGUCUUGAGCCACUUAGGGGCAGUCGGAACAGACGGUGGAGCGGUGAAAUGCGCAGAUAUCGGGAGGAACACCAAUUGCGAAGGCAGCUCGCUGGGACGGUACUGACGCUGAGGCGCGAAAGCGUGGGGAGCAAACAGG